AGUGAACGCUGGCGGUAGGCCUAACACAUGCAAGUCGAACGGCAGCACAGUAAGAGCUUGCUCUUACGGGUGGCGAGUGGCGGACGGGUGAGGAAUACAUCGGAAUCUACUUUUUCGUGGGGGAUAACGUAGGGAAACUUACGCUAAUACCUCAUACGACCUACGGGUGAAAGCAGGGGAUCUUCGGACCUUGCGCGAUUGAAUGAGCCGAUGUCGGAUUAGCUAGUUGGCGGGGUAAAGGCCCACCAAGGCGACGAUCCGUAGCUGGUCUGAGAGGAUGAUCAGCCACACUGGAACUGAGACACGGUCCAGACUCAUACGGGAGGCAGCAGUGGGGAAUAUUGGACAAUGGGCGCAAGCCUGAUCCAGCCAUACCGCGUGGGUGAAGAAGGCCUUCGGGUUGUAAAGCCCUUUUGUUGGGAAAGAAAAGCAGCAGGUUAAUACCCCGCUGUUCUGACGGUACCCAAAGAAUAAGCACCGGCUAACUUCGUG
This 492-nucleotide ribosomal RNA is filed under the name uncultured bacterium. Its description in RNAcentral is "partial 16S ribosomal RNA". It matches the Rfam family "Bacterial small subunit ribosomal RNA", at positions 29 to 507 of the family's 1533-position model. The record is from RNAcentral.